Molecule: long non-coding RNA, 628 nt
Filed under: Olea europaea subsp. europaea
Lineage: Eukaryota; Viridiplantae; Streptophyta; Magnoliopsida; Lamiales; Oleaceae
Source: RNAcentral
GUUUUUAUGUCAAAUUGAAAUCGACACUCAAACUGAGGUUCGGAGGUAGUUUUGCUACAUAUUGAGCCUCCUCUUUUUGUUUAUAAAUAUUUGCGAAGAAUUCCUUUUUGAUUGUUUUGAAACUUUUUCAUUUUCUGAAUAUGUUAAAUUGAUGGCAAUUUUUCUCUCUCGUGGGUGGUUCAUUAAACAGUCAAUUUUCAAAUUGGAUAAGAUUCCUUUUUGAAUACUCUAUUUCUUUUAAAUAUUAGGUUUUAUGAUUUGGAAAAAGGUAUUUUCUUGUUGGUAAAGAUUAGGGUUCGAGAUUAGUGUACUGGCUGAUACUCUGUUCGUUGUGUACAGGGUACUAGCAAAUAGCCAUCGAUAGGACAUUCGGGAAUCUGGGAUGACAACGGUUUCAUUUCAAAUUUUUGUCAUUAAUCUUUACCUCUGCUUUUGUUGUUACUGAAUUGAUUAUUUGACAUUUUGAAUAGUGGAUUAGGGUCUUGAGAAUGAAGUGAAUUCUUGAAGAAACAAGCUACUGCUAUUAUCUACGUCCUGUUUAUUUUGGUUCAAGAGUACGUCUGAGGCUUGCUAAGGAGAUGGAUGUUGCUAAACAUUGGUAGUUAGUUCUUUGGAAUUUGGUUGGCAG